AUAGAUCAUAGUGCCUGGAAUGGCUUAUGGUCCAAACAGUUUACUGCCAUGGGAUGGGACUGCGGCCUAUCAGCUUGUUGGUGAGGUAAUGGCCCACCAAGGCGAUUACAGGUACGGGCUCUGAGAGGAGAAGCCCGGAGAUGGGUACUGAGACACGGACCCAGGCCCUAUGGGGCGCAGCAGGCGAGAAACCUUAGCAAUGUGCGAAAGCACGACUGGGUCAGUCCGAGUGAUUCCUGAUAAAGGAGUCUUUUGCCUGUCCUAAAAACACAGGUGAAUAAGGGGUGGGCAAGUCUGGUGUCAGCCGCCGCGGUAAUACCAGCACCUCGAGUGGUCAGGACGUUUAUUGGGCCUAAAGCAUCCGUAGCCGGCGCUGCAAGUCUUCGGUUAAAUCCACCUGCUCAACAGAUGGGCUGCUGGAGAUACUACAGCGCUAGGGAGUGGGAGAGGCAGACGGUAUUCAGUGGGUAGGGGUAAAAUCCUCUGAUCCAUUGAGGACCACCAGUGGCGAAGGCGGUCUGCCAGAACACGUUCGACGGUGAGGGAUGAAAGCUGGGGGAGCAAACCGGAUUAGAUACCCGGGUAGUCCCAGCUGUAAAC
This 600-nucleotide ribosomal RNA is filed under the name uncultured archaeon. RNAcentral describes it as "bacterial SSU rRNA". It matches the Rfam family "Archaeal small subunit ribosomal RNA", at positions 156 to 758 of the family's 1478-position model. The record is from RNAcentral.